GUGGGGAAUUUUGGACAAUGGGGGCAACCCUGAUCCAGCCAUGCCGCGUGUGUGAAGAAGGUCUUCGGAUUGUAAAGCACUUUAAGUUGGGAGGAAGGGCAGUAAGUUAAUACCUUGCUGUUUUGACGUUACCAACAGAAUAAGCACCGGCUAACUUCGUGCCAGCAGCCGCGGUAAUACGAAGGGUGCAAGCGUUAAUCGGAAUUACUGGGCGUAAAGCGCGCGUAGGUGGUUCAGCAAGUUGAAGGUGAAAUCCCCGGGCUCAACCUGGGAACUGCCUCCAAAACUACUGAGCUAGAGUACGGUAGAGGGUAGUGGAAUUUCCUGUGUAGCGGUGAAAUGCGUAGAUAUAGGAAGGAACACCAGUGGCGAAGGCGACUACCUGGACUGAUACUGACACUGAGGUGCGAAAGCGUGGGGAGCAAACAGGAUUAGAUACCCGUGUAGUCC
This 450-nucleotide ribosomal RNA is filed under the name uncultured bacterium. RNAcentral describes it as "partial 16S ribosomal RNA". It matches the Rfam family "Bacterial small subunit ribosomal RNA", at positions 354 to 796 of the family's 1533-position model. The record is from RNAcentral.